Molecule: ribosomal RNA, 512 nt
Filed under: uncultured bacterium
Lineage: Bacteria
Description: bacterial SSU rRNA
Rfam family: Bacterial small subunit ribosomal RNA
Source: RNAcentral
UAGUCCACGCCGUAAACGAUGGAUACUAGCUGUCCGGGACUUUAAGUUCUGGGCGGCCAAGCGAAAGUGAUAAGUAUCCCACCUGGGGAGUACGUUCGCAAGAAUGAAACUCAAAGGAAUUGACGGGGCCCGCACAAGCGGUGGAGCAUGUGGUUUAAUUCGAUGAUACGCGAGGAACCUUACCAGGGCUUAAAUGUAAGUUGCAUUAGUUAGAGAUAGCUAUUUCUUCGGACCACUUACAAGGUGCUGCAUGGUUGUCGUCAGCUCGUGCCGUGAGGUGUCAGGUUAAGUCCUAUAACGAGCGCAACCCCUAUCGUUAGUUGCUAACAGGUUAAGCUGAGGACUCUAAUGAGACUGCCGGUGCAAACCGAGAGGAAGGUGGGGAUGACGUCAAAUCAUCACGGGCCCUUACGUCCUGGGGCUACACACGUGCUACAAUGGUAAAGACAGAGAGCAGCCAACUGGUGACAGUGAGCGAAUCUAUAAACUUUAUCGCAGUUCGGAUCGGGAGU